RNAcentral lists this long non-coding RNA (1197 nucleotides) under Homo sapiens (human). RNAcentral describes it as "novel transcript". Lineage: Eukaryota; Metazoa; Chordata; Mammalia; Primates; Hominidae. The record is from RNAcentral.
UUACAAUGGGAAGAUGGGGGAGGCAGCACACUGGGGUCAGGAGUGGAGAUACUUAGGCUCCCCAGAGAAAUUAGUCACAAGUCUUAUCCCUUCAUCUCCAUUUACAGCCAUUUAUUUGGGAGCAACAUACUUUAAAUGAGUGAUAAACAAAAUGUCUCCCCACAGCCCCCACCCCAGCAUGUGUUCUGAAGUUCACAGGAAGGCUUCUCCUCAUUUGCUUUGGGGCCCGCAGGCUGCCUGCUAACAGCUGGGUCUUCCCAUGAACAAAUUAGACAGUUAAUGUUCCAGGAUGAAGAGGGCUUCGGGGAACAGAAUCUGCCGUUUAUUUGACUUGCUUCAUUAGACACAGUGCCAUCAUACCAAAAUUAGAAAAAAGAAGGAACUCAGCGGAAAUCAGCUACACAAGAAGAACCUCUCAGUUCUGAGAAUUCACAUUAACCAGUGAUUAAGAAAUAUUAAAAAGGGCUGAUAGUCCACUACGUUAUCAAGUUCAAAGCCUAAGAAAUAUUGAACAUUUCCACACAUGAAUGUGGGUACUAUGUUUAAUUUGAGAAUGGCCAACUGUCCUCGAAGUCUCAAUCUCUUUGGAGCCUACCAGCUCCGAGAGAAGUUUGAGGAUGCUGCAAAACCCUCCCCUGCAAAUCCAUCUACUCCUCCCACUUCUAUCCUAAUGGGUAUAGUUCUUGGCUGUGCUGAGGAUCUGUAAGGCACCAGAUGUGAAAGUAAGGAAGAAAGAUGGAUGUGGAAGAAAGUCACUGCCCAGAGAAUAAGGAGACCUGGAUUCUAAUCUCAGCUCUGCCAUUAACUAGCUGUGAGACUCAAGAAUAACUAAUCAUUUUGAUAACUCGUUUUUUUACUUUUUAAAAUGAGGAGCCAAGUUUAGACAAUGAGCUCGGCUCUUCACCAGUGAUAAAGUGUCUGGGACAUGCUUCCAUUCAAGCAAUGCUCUUCCUUCUUGAUGAAACUAUGGCUCAAAAGGGAAUAAGAGAUCAAGGCAAGCAUGGACAUCUUGUACGUGGAAGUGCAGACCAGAACUUGUAUCACAGCCAGUCAUAUCUGGUGCUUUCCAUGCUACUUUUACAUACAUGUAUCCUUAAAUUUGAUCCUCUUCUAGUUUAGUCUAAACUCUUUACUUUGUAACUUCCAAACCUAAAAGGUGCAGCAGACAUUGACAAUCUUAAUUCAUUUGUCAGGUCA